Molecule: ribosomal RNA, 483 nt
Filed under: Hymenoscyphus linearis
Lineage: Eukaryota; Fungi; Ascomycota; Leotiomycetes; Helotiales; Helotiaceae
Description: eukaryotic LSU rRNA
Rfam family: 5.8S ribosomal RNA (bases 167-320)
Source: RNAcentral
CAUUACAGAGCGUUCAUGCCCGUGAGGGUAGGAGCCCCAACCCUUGUGUAUAUAUAUUGUUGCUUUAGCAGGUCGUCCCUCGGGACGUUGGCCUCGGUCGACCGUGCCUGCUAGAGGACCCUAAACUUUGAAAUACAGUGUCGUCUGAGUACUAUUUAAUAGUUAAAACUUUCAACAACGGAUCUCUUGGUUCUGGCAUCGAUGAAGAACGCAGCGAAAUGCGAUAAGUAAUGUGAAUUGCAGAAUUCAGUGAAUCAUCGAAUCUUUGAACGCACAUUGCGCCCCUUGGUAUUCCGGGGGGCAUGCCUGUUCGAGCGUCAUUUAGACCAACUCCCGCUCCGGCGGGGUCUUGGGCUUCGCCUCUGGGCGGGCCUCAAAACCAGUGGCGGCGCCGGUAGGCUCUACGCGUAGUAAUUCUUCUCGCGAUAGGGUCCUGUCGGUGUCUCGCCAACAACCCCCAACUUCUUAAGGUUGACCUCGGAU